RNAcentral lists this ribosomal RNA (355 nucleotides) under uncultured Oscillospiraceae bacterium. RNAcentral describes it as "bacterial SSU rRNA". It matches the Rfam family "Bacterial small subunit ribosomal RNA", at positions 1027 to 1382 of the family's 1533-position model. The record is from RNAcentral. Lineage: Bacteria; Bacillati; Bacillota; Clostridia; Eubacteriales; Oscillospiraceae.
CAAGGAGACAGGUGGUGCAUGGUUGUCGUCAGCUCGUGUCGUGGGAUGUGGGUUAAGUCCCGCAACGAGCGCAACCCCUGUGGUUAGUUGCCAGCAAGUAGCGUUGGGCACUCUAGCCAGACUGCCGGCGAUAAAUCGGAGGAAGGUGGGGACGACGUCAAAUCAUCAUGCCCUUUAUGUCCUGGGCUACACACGUACUACAAUGGCCGUUACAACGGGAAGCGAAGGAGCAAUCCGGAGCAAAUCCCUUAAAGGCGGUCCCAGUUCAGAUUGUGGGCUGAAACUCGCCCACAUGAAGGCGGAAUUGCUAGUAAUUGCAGAUCAGCAUGCUGCAGUGAAUACGUUCCCGGGCCUU